RNAcentral lists this ribosomal RNA (253 nucleotides) under uncultured bacterium. RNAcentral's name for it is "partial 16S ribosomal RNA". It matches the Rfam family "Bacterial small subunit ribosomal RNA", at positions 524 to 776 of the family's 1533-position model. The record is from RNAcentral.
GGCAGAGGGGGCAAGCGUUGCUCGGAAUUACUGGGCGUAAAGAGCGCGCAGGCGGUCGUACAAGUCGCGUGUGAAAGCCCCCGGCUCAACUGGGGAGGGUCACGCGAUACUGUUCGACUCGAAGGCAGGAGAGGGAAGUGGAAUUCCCGGUGUAGUGGUGAAAUGCGUAGAUAUCGGGAGGAACACCAGUGGCGAAGGCGACUUCCUGGCCUGUUCUUGACGCUGAGGCGCGAAAGCUAGGGUAGCAAACGGG